RNAcentral lists this ribosomal RNA (255 nucleotides) under uncultured bacterium. RNAcentral describes it as "partial 16S ribosomal RNA". It matches the Rfam family "Bacterial small subunit ribosomal RNA", at positions 524 to 776 of the family's 1533-position model. The record is from RNAcentral.
UACGAAGGGGGGCUAGCGUUGCUCGGAAUCACUGGGCGUAAAGCGCACGUAGGCGGAUUGUUAAGUCAGGGGUGAAAUCCUGGAGCUCAACUCCAGAACUGCCUUUGAUACUGGCGAUCUCGAGUCCGGGAGAGGUGAGUGGAACUGCGAGUGUAGAGGUGAAAAUUCGUAGAUAUUCGCAAGAACACCAGUGGCGAAGGCGGCUCACUGGCCCGGUACUGACGCUGAGGUGCGAAAGCGUGGGGAGCAAACAGG